This 253-nucleotide ribosomal RNA is filed under the name uncultured bacterium. Its description in RNAcentral is "partial 16S ribosomal RNA". It matches the Rfam family "Bacterial small subunit ribosomal RNA", at positions 524 to 776 of the family's 1533-position model. The record is from RNAcentral.
UACAGAGGGGGCAAGCGUUAUUCGGAAUUAUUGGGCGUAAAGAGCUCGUAGGCGGUCUGUCGCGUCUGCCGUGAAAACCCGAGGCUUAACCUCGGGCUGGCGGUGGAUACGGGCAGACUAGAGGUAGGUAGGGGAGAAUGGAAUUCCCGGUGUAGCGGUGAAAUGCGCAGAUAUCGGGAGGAACACCGGUGGCGAAGGCGGUUCUCUGGGCCUUACCUGACGCUGAGGAGCGAAAGCGUGGGGAGCGAACAGG